GACGUGUGAUGAAUUUUUCCAUUACAUUCGCAGUUUCCACCAUAGACACUUCAUUGUGUUGGUGAUGGGACUUUUGUCCUUCCUUGGAUGUCUGAUGUC
This 99-nucleotide small nucleolar RNA is filed under the name Amphimedon queenslandica. Its description in RNAcentral is "Small nucleolar RNA SNORD14". It matches the Rfam family "Small nucleolar RNA SNORD14". From Rfam's summary of the family: U14 small nucleolar RNA (U14 snoRNA) is required for early cleavages of eukaryotic precursor rRNAs. In yeasts, this molecule possess a stem-loop region (known as the Y-domain) which is essential for function. A similar structure, but with a different consensus sequence, is found in plants, but is absent in vertebrates. The record is from Rfam by way of RNAcentral. Lineage: Eukaryota; Metazoa; Porifera; Demospongiae; Haplosclerida; Niphatidae.